This 460-nucleotide ribosomal RNA is filed under the name uncultured bacterium. RNAcentral describes it as "partial 16S ribosomal RNA". It matches the Rfam family "Bacterial small subunit ribosomal RNA", at positions 338 to 795 of the family's 1533-position model. The record is from RNAcentral.
CCUACGGGAGGCAGCAGUGAGGAAUAUUGGUCAAUGGGCGGAAGCCUGAACCAGCCAAGUCGCGUGAGGGAUUAAGGCCCUGCGGGUCGUAAACCUCUUUUGCCGGGGAGCAGAGGUCCGGACGUGUCCGGGCCGGGAGAGUACCCGGAGAAAAAGCAUCGGCUAACUCCGUGCCAGCAGCCGCGGUAAUACGGAGGAUGCGAGCGUUAUCCGGAUUUAUUGGGGUUAAAGGGUGCGUAGGCGAGCAUUUAAGCCGGCGGUCAAAUGUCGGGGCUCAACCCCGGCCUGCCGUCGGAACUGAGUGCCUUGAGUGGGCGAGAAGUAUGCGGAAUGCGUGGUGUAGCGGUGAAAUGCAGAGAUAUCACGCAGAACCCCGAUUGCGAAGGCAGCAUACCGGCGCCCUACUGACGCUGAGGCACGAAAGUGCGGGUAUCGAACAGGAUUAGAUACCCUAGUAGUC